GGUUGUAGCUCAGUGGGAGAGCACUUGCCUUGGACGAGUGAGGCCCUGGGUUCAAUGCUCAGCACCA
RNAcentral lists this transfer RNA (67 nucleotides) under Marmota monax (woodchuck). RNAcentral describes it as "tRNA.Pro". Lineage: Eukaryota; Metazoa; Chordata; Mammalia; Rodentia; Sciuridae. The record is from RNAcentral.